This 451-nucleotide ribosomal RNA is filed under the name uncultured bacterium. RNAcentral's name for it is "bacterial SSU rRNA". It matches the Rfam family "Bacterial small subunit ribosomal RNA", at positions 340 to 784 of the family's 1533-position model. The record is from RNAcentral.
UACGGAAGGCAGCAGGGGGAAUAUUGCACAAUGGGCGCAAGCCUGAUGCAGCCAUGCCGCGUGUAUGAAGAAGGCCUUCGGGUUGUAAAGUACUUUCAGUCGUGAGGAAGGUGUUAAGGUUAAUAACCUUAGCAAUUGACGUUAGCGACAGAAGAAGCACCGGCUAACUCCGUGCCAGCAGCCGCGGUAAUACGGAGGGUGCGAGCGUUAAUCGGAAUUACUGGGCGUAAAGGGCACGCAGGCGGUUAAUUAAGUUGGAUGUGAAAUCCCCGGGCUUAACCUGGGAAUGGCAUUCAAGACUGGUUAGCUAGAGUCUUGUAGAGGGGGUAGAAUUCCAUGUGUAGCGGUGAAAUGCGUAGAGAUGUGGAGGAAUACCGGUGGCGAAGGCGGCCCCUGGGACAAAGACUGACGCUCAUGUGCGAAAGCGUGGGGAGCAAACAGGGAUUAGAUA